UCUUUUGACGGUGAAAGUGUGCUCAAAUGUGCUGAAAAGGGGACCUGUUGUAGCCAUCUUUGUUGGCACUUUGGUUAAACUGUUAGAAGGUAAGAAUUCAGUAUUCGGUGUAUGGGAAAAACCCAGUAUUUGGCUUAGGAUGAUGCUCUUCGUGUGAAAAAAUGUUUGCAAUAUUUAUGUACGUGUUCUCUUCGGCAGACGUCGGUAAAGUUAGAAUUAGAAACUUCAGUGAGCUGCUUUUUCCUUCAAUAAGAUGAUGUCGUGUCUUUCUUGAUUGCAUUAUUAUACAAUUUAACAAGAGAGCUACAGUUAGAACAGAGAGCUAAAGUCAGUAUUGCGAUGUGUGGACGUGACAUUUGCUCAAAUUUAAUACAUUGUACUAGGUUAAUCUACCUGUAGUCUGGUUACUCAAGAUCAUGAAUACCAGUGCAUUUCUUGCACUGUAGAAGUUCUUAACCAAUGGGUUAACCACAAAGAAACACCGCAUGUUGAUAGGAGAUACUCAAUAUCCAGAUCUACUGCUAUAAUGAUUACUUGGACAGACUCCUACUCUGCCACUCACUCGGGCGCAACUAUAGUCAUGCAGUUUUGAAUCUUCACAGUUAUAUGGGUAUGCUUAUGGACUGAUUUUGUUCCCAGUACAUGGUGAUGAUCCAUGUUCUGUUUACUCGGUCGAUGCAGAAUGUGAAGGCAGGAGUGGGAUCACAUUCCAGACUCCAGAGAGUGUACCAAUUAGCCUCAGGUUCAUAAAUACCCAGGUUCAAAAAAAGUUAUGAUAAGCUGAGAGCGUCAACGGCAGAUAUUGUGGUACAUUUAAACGGACUUCUCGAGCUAGAGGACUGGUUGGAGAUGACAAUGUGUUUGGACUACAUCUUUCAGCUUAGACAUCUUAUUAUGAUGGCCCUACUGUUCCGCAGUGGUACUAAAUCAGAGACUUCUCAAUGAGUAUUAGCGAUACAUGGGUAAUUCUGGAGUAGUAAUCCCUCCUGAAUAUUUUGUAUGCUCGGUUGCUUCAAGAUCUUGCUUUGAUGUUUGGGAAGAAUGGGUACUGGGUGCCGUUAUUUAAUCUA
Long non-coding RNA from Lolium rigidum, 1070 nucleotides. RefSeq lists it as uncharacterized. The record is from RefSeq and is a predicted model, not a curated record. The transcript has 2 exons. NCBI's taxonomy places the organism in Eukaryota, Viridiplantae, Streptophyta, Magnoliopsida, Poales, Poaceae.